CAGUAGCCACGGGAAUACGAAGGGGGCUAGCGUUGUUCGGAAUUACUGGGCGUAAAGCGCACGCAGGCGGCUCGAUAAAUUAGAAGUGAAAGCCUUGGGCUUAACCUGAGAAUUGCUUUUAAGACUGUCGAGCUAGAAUCCAGAAGAGGGUAGUGGAAUUCCGAGUGUAGAGGUGAAAUUCGUAGAUAUUCGGAAGAACACCAGUGGCGAAGGCGACUACCUGGUCUGGCAUUGACGCUCAUGUGCGAAAGCGUGGGGAGCAAACAGGAUUAGAUACCCGUGUAGUCCCUGUCUCUUAUAC
This 301-nucleotide ribosomal RNA is filed under the name uncultured bacterium. RNAcentral describes it as "partial 16S ribosomal RNA". It matches the Rfam family "Bacterial small subunit ribosomal RNA", at positions 509 to 807 of the family's 1533-position model. The record is from RNAcentral.